Molecule: ribosomal RNA, 165 nt
Filed under: Armatimonadota bacterium
Lineage: Bacteria; Bacillati; Armatimonadota
Description: partial 23S ribosomal RNA
Rfam family: Bacterial large subunit ribosomal RNA
Source: RNAcentral
GGAUAACCGCUGAAAGCAUCUAAGCGGGAAGCCCACCCCAAGAUAAGGCCUCCCAUGGGGUCAACCCAGUAAGGGCACGGGAAGAACACCCGUUUGAUGGGCUGGAGGUGGAAGCCCAGCAAUGGGUGGAGCUGACCAGUCCCAAUCGCCCGAGGACUUGACUGU